Molecule: ribosomal RNA, 451 nt
Filed under: uncultured bacterium
Lineage: Bacteria
Description: partial 16S ribosomal RNA
Rfam family: Bacterial small subunit ribosomal RNA
Source: RNAcentral
AACGAACGCUGGCGGCAGGCUUAACACAUGCAAGUCGAACGCCUAUAGCAAUAUAGGAGUGGCGCACGGGUGAGUAAUACUUGGGAACGUGCCUUAGAGUCUGGGAUAACUACUGGAAACGGUAGCUAAUACCGGAUAUUCCCUCCGGGGGAAAGAUUUAUCGCUCUAAGAUCGGCCCAAGCCAGAUUAGCUAGUUGGUGAGGUAAUGGCUCACCAAGGCUCCGAUCUGUAGCUGUUCUGAGAGGAAGACCAGCCACACUGGAACUGAGACACGGUCCAGACUCCUACGGGAGGCAGCAGUGGGGAAUAUUGGACAAUGGGCGAAAGCCUGAUCCAGCCAUGCCGCGUGAGUGAUGAAGGCCUUAGGGUUGUAAAGCUCUUUUGCCAGGGAAGAUGAUGACGGUACCUGGAGAAUAAGCACCGGCUAACUCUGUGCCAGCCGCCGCAGUAA